Molecule: ribosomal RNA, 465 nt
Filed under: uncultured bacterium
Lineage: Bacteria
Description: partial 16S ribosomal RNA
Rfam family: Bacterial small subunit ribosomal RNA
Source: RNAcentral
GACGAACGCUGGCGGCGUGCUUAACACAUGCAAGUUGAACGGAAAGGCCCUGCUUGCCGGGUACUCGAGUGGCGAACGGGUGAGUAACACGUGGGUGAUCUGCCCUGCACUUCGGGAUAAGCCUGGGAAACUGGGUCUAAUACCGGAUAGGAGCCAUUUUUAGUGUGAUGGUUGGAAAGUUUUUUCGGUGUAGGAUGAGCUCGCGGCCUAUCAGCUUGUUGGUGGGGUAAUGGCCUACCAAGGCGGCGACGGGUAGCCGGCCUGAGAGGGUGGACGGCCACAUUGGGACUGAGAUACGGCCCAGACUCCUACGGGAGGCAGCAGUGGGGAAUAUUGCACAAUGGGCGCAAGCCUGAUGCAGCGACGCCGCGUGGGGGAUGACGGCCUUCGGGUUGUAAACUCCUUUCGCUAGGGACGAAGCUUUUUGUGACGGUACCUAGAUAAGAAGCACCGGCUAACUACGUG